Molecule: non-coding RNA, 256 nt
Organism: Parasteatoda tepidariorum (common house spider)
Lineage: Eukaryota; Metazoa; Arthropoda; Arachnida; Araneae; Theridiidae
Source: RefSeq, a predicted model, not a curated record
ACUUGGAUAAAUAUAUGAUGUCCUACAAAAAGAGGAUCUGUAGACAGUAUUUCACACCUUUCCCUAAGUAUCCAGGACAACAUGAACUCUCUCGUACUUUUCCUCGGAGUCACCCUUUUAGCUUUAUGUGAAGCUCGUCCAACUGUACAUAAAGUCACUUCAAAACUGAUAACACACGUUUAUAAAUUCAGAGAAAAAGUCACAGGCCAUGAUGGACGACCUAAAGAUAGAAGAGAUAAAAAUGGACUUGGAUUAA